GCGAGUCGAAUGUAGCAAUACAUGGCGUACUGCUCAGUAACACGUGGACAACCUACCCUUAGGACGGGGAUAAACCCGGGAAACUGGGUAUAAUACCCGAUAGUUCUCGGCUGCUGGAAUGCACCGAGUACUAAAGCUCCGGCGCCUAAGGAUGGGUCUGCGGCCUAUCAGGUAGUAGUGGGUGUAGCGUACCUACUAGCCUACGACGGGUACGGGUUGUGAGAGCAAGAGCCCGGAGAUGGAUUCUGAGACACGAAUCCAGGCCCUACGGGGUGCAGCAGGCGCGAAAACUUUACAAUGCUGGCAACAGCGAUAAGGGGACCUCGAGUGCCAGGUUACAAAUCUGGCUGUCGUGAUGCCUAAAAAGCAUUGCAUAGCAAGGGCCGGGCAAGACCGGUGCCAGCCGCCGCGGUAACACCGGCGGCUCGAGUGGUAACCGUUAUUAUUGGGUCUAAAGGGUCUGUAACCGGCCGGAUAAGUCUCUUGGGAAAUCUGGCAGCUUAACUGUCAGGCUUUCAGGAGAUACUGUCUGGCUCGAGGCCGGGAGAGGUGAGAGGUACUUCAGGGGUAGGGGUGAAAUCUUGUAAUCCUUGAAGGACCACCAGUGGCGAAGGCGUCUCACCAGAACGGACCUGACGGCAAGGGACGAAAGCUAGGGGCACGAACCGGAUUAGAUACCCUGGUAGUCCUAGCCGUAAACGAUACUCGCUAGGUGUCGGCCACGGUGCGACCGUUGUCGGUGCCGUAGGGAAGCCGUGAAGCGAGCCACCUGGGAAGUACGGCCGCAAGGCUGAAACUUAAAGGAAUUGGCGGGGGAGCACUACAACGGGUGGAGC
RNAcentral lists this ribosomal RNA (836 nucleotides) under uncultured archaeon. RNAcentral describes it as "bacterial SSU rRNA". It matches the Rfam family "Archaeal small subunit ribosomal RNA", at positions 53 to 894 of the family's 1478-position model. The record is from RNAcentral.